AGUGAACGCUGGCGGUAGGCCUAACACAUGCAAGUCGAACGGCAGCACAGUAAGAGCUUGCUCCUACGGGUGGCGAGUGGCGGACGGGUGAGGAAUACAUAGGAAACCACUUUUUCGUGGGGGAUAACGUAGGGAAACUUACGCUAAUACAGCAUACGACCUACGGGUGAAAGCAGGGGAUCUUCGCACCUUGCGCGACUGAAUGAGCCGAUGUCGGAUUAGCUAGUUGGCGGGGUAAAGGCCCACCAAGGCGACGAUCCGUAGCUGGUCUGAGAGGAUGAUCAGCCACACUGGAACUGAGACACGGUCCAGACUCCUACGGGAGGCAGCAGUAGGGAAUAUUGGACAAUGGGCGCAAGCCUGAUCCAGCCAUACCGCGUGGGUGAAGAAGGCCUUCGGGUUGUAAAGCCCUUUUGUUGGGAAAGAAAAGCAGCAGGUUAAUACCCCGCUGUUCUGACGGUACCCAAAGAAUAAGCACCGGCUAACUUCGUG
This 492-nucleotide ribosomal RNA is filed under the name uncultured bacterium. Its description in RNAcentral is "partial 16S ribosomal RNA". It matches the Rfam family "Bacterial small subunit ribosomal RNA", at positions 29 to 507 of the family's 1533-position model. The record is from RNAcentral.